This 492-nucleotide ribosomal RNA is filed under the name uncultured bacterium. RNAcentral describes it as "partial 16S ribosomal RNA". It matches the Rfam family "Bacterial small subunit ribosomal RNA", at positions 29 to 507 of the family's 1533-position model. The record is from RNAcentral.
AGUGAACGCUGGCGAUAGGCCUAACACAUGCAAGUCGAACGGCAGCACAGUAAGAGCUUGCUCUUACGGGUGGCGAGUGGCGGACGGGUGAGGAAUACAUCGGAAUCUACUUUUUCGUGGGGGAUAACGUAGGGAAACUUACGCUAAUACCGCAUACGACCUACGGGUGAAAGCAGGGGAUCUUCGGACCUUGCGCGAUUGAAUGAGCCGAUGUCGGAUUAGCUAAUUGGCGGGGUAAAGGCCCACCAAGGCGACGAUCCGUAACUGGUCUGAGAGGAUGAUCAGCCACACUGGAACUGAGACACGGUCCAGACUCCUACGGGAGGCAGCAGUGGGGAAUAUUGGACAAUGGGCGCAAGCCUGAUCCAGCCAUACCGCGUGGGUGAAGAAGGCCUUCGGGUUGUAAAGCCCUUUUGUUGGGAAAGAAAAGCAGCAGGUUAAUACCCCGCUGUUCUGACGGUACCCAAAGAAUAAGCACCGGCUAACUUCGUG